Molecule: non-coding RNA, 565 nt
Organism: Heterocephalus glaber (naked mole-rat)
Lineage: Eukaryota; Metazoa; Chordata; Mammalia; Rodentia; Bathyergidae
Source: RefSeq, a predicted model, not a curated record
CGGAUCUUAGGGCCAGCUCCCGGAGUGCGGCGGCCCCUGGGCACUGGGAACCGGGUCCCUGCGGUCCCACGCUAGGAAUACCCGCUGCGAGGCGGUUAAAAUGGCAAGCUUUAAGAGAGGGACGCUUGUAACCGGCAAGUCUUUUUAGGUUCACAUCCAGAAAUUAUCCUAAAAUACUGGUUAACUGGAUUUCCAGUCCACCGACUAACAGAAGCAGCAAGUAAGAAAUUUUAAGGGCAACAGGAGCUUCCGGCACAGACUCUUCAGCCUUCCAGUGCAGAAGCUUCAGCCUUCCAUCGCAGACCUUUCCACCUCCUGUUACAGACUCACACAGGACAUUACAGUGUCCUGUAAUUACAGGCCUUUGAACUUGACUGGAUCCAUCUCUAUUGUGCAGACAGCUUUUUGUAGUCUUCCACACCUGACUCUGUGGAUGGCCUACCUUAUGAGCACUGACUGAUACAACCUCCGACUGUGGGUCCCCUUCCUAUUGGGUACAAGGUCUACCUCUCCCUAUUUCCUAUCAUUUUUUUUUAAUUAAAAUCUUUUUUUUGUUUUUGAGACA